Molecule: ribosomal RNA, 495 nt
Filed under: uncultured bacterium
Lineage: Bacteria
Description: partial 16S ribosomal RNA
Rfam family: Bacterial small subunit ribosomal RNA
Source: RNAcentral
GACGAACGCUGGCGGCGUGCCUAAUACAUGCAAGUAGAACGCUGAAGGAGGAGCUUGCUUCUCUGGAUGAGUUGCGAACGGGUGAGUAACGCGUAGGUAACCUGCCUGUUAGCGGGGGAUAACUAUUGGAAACGAUAGCUAAUACCGCAUAACAGUAGAUAUCGCAUGAUAUCUACUUGAAAGGUGCAAUUUCAUCACUACCAGAUGGACCUGCGUUGUAUUAUCUAGUUGGUGAGGUAACGGCUCACCAAGGCGACGAUACAUAGCCGACCUGAGAGGGUGAUCGGCCAACAUGGGACCGAGACAAGGCUCAGACUCCCACGGGAGGCAGCAGUAGGGAAUCUUCGGCAAUGGACGGAAGUCUGAACGAGCAACGGCGCGGGAGGGAAGAAGGUUCUCGGAUCGGAAAGAUCUGUUGUAAGAGAAGAAAGAGUGUGAGAGUGGAAAGUUCACACUGUGACGGUACCUUACCAGAAAGGGACGGCUAACUACGUG